This 404-nucleotide ribosomal RNA is filed under the name uncultured eukaryote. Its description in RNAcentral is "bacterial LSU rRNA". It matches the Rfam family "Bacterial large subunit ribosomal RNA", at positions 13 to 461 of the family's 2925-position model. The record is from RNAcentral.
AAGCGUACAUGGUGGAUGCCUUGGCAGUCAGAGGCGAUGAAGGACGUACUAACCUGCGAUAAGCCGUGAGCAGUCGGUAAGAGACAUUACGACUCACGGAUUUCCGAAUGGGGAAACCCACUUAGCAUAAGCUAGGUAUCGCUACGUGAAUACAUAGCGUAGCGAGGCGAACCGGGAGAACUGAAACAUCUAAGUACCCCGAGGAAAAGAAAUCAACCGAGAUUCCCUCAGUAGCGGCGAGCGAACGGGGAUUUAGCCCCUUAAGCAUCUUGGAAGUUAGUGGAACGGUCCUGGAAAGGCCGGCGAUACAGGGUGAUAGCCCCGUACACGAAAACAACCUUGAUGUGAAAUCGAGUAGGGCGGGACACGUGACAUCCUGUCUGAAUAUGGGGGGACCAUCCUCC